GACGAACGCUGGCGGCGUGCUUAACACAUGCAAGUCGAACGAUGAAGCUGGGGCUUGCUCCGGUGGAUUAGUGGCGAACGGGUGAGUAACACGUGAGCAAUCUGCCCUUCACUCUGGGAUAACUGCGGGAAACUGUAGCUAAUACCGGAUACGAGACCUUGGGGCAUCCCAGGGUCUGAAAAGAAUUUCGGUGAAGGAUGAGCUCGCGGCCUAUCAGCUAGUUGGUGAGGUAAUGGCUCACCAAGGCGACGACGGGUAGCCGGCCUGAGAGGGUGACCGGCCACACUGGGACUGAGACACGGCCCAGACUCCUACGGGAGGCAGCAGUGGGGAAUAUUGCACAAUGGGCGAAAGCCUGAUGCAGCAACGCCGCGUGAGGGAUGAAGGCCUUCGGGUUGUAAACCUCUUUUAGUAGGGAAGAAGCGCAAGUGACGGUACCUACAGAAAAAGCACCGGCUAACUACGUGCCAGCCGCCGCGGUAA
Molecule: ribosomal RNA, 483 nt
Filed under: uncultured bacterium
Lineage: Bacteria
Description: partial 16S ribosomal RNA
Rfam family: Bacterial small subunit ribosomal RNA
Source: RNAcentral